UCACCCCUCAAGCCCAGUGCUUGGUGUUGGACGGCCUGGUCGAGUCGCAUCGACCCCUUCUAAAGACAAUGACGGCGGCCUGUGGAUCCCCCGGUACACUGAGCUUUUAACUGAGCACGUAUCGGACAAGGGCGCCCAGGACCCGGUCCUCUCCUUUAACUAGGAAACUUCUCAA
This 175-nucleotide unclassified non-coding RNA is filed under the name uncultured Herpotrichiellaceae. RNAcentral describes it as "sequence contains ITS2". The record is from RNAcentral. Lineage: Eukaryota; Fungi; Ascomycota; Eurotiomycetes; Chaetothyriales; Herpotrichiellaceae.